UACAGAGGGUGCAAGCGUUGUUCGGAAUUAUUGGGCGUAAAGCGCGUGUAGGCGGCCAUUUAAGUCUGGUGUGAAAUCCCUCGGCUCAACCGAGGAAGUGCAUUGGAUACUGAAUGGCUAGAGGAUGAGAGAGGAGAGUGGAAUUCCAGGUGUAGGGGUGAAAUCCGUAGAUAUCUGGAGGAACACCAGAGGCGAAGGCGGCUCUCUGGCUCAUUUCUGACGCUGAGACGCGAAAGCGUGGGGAGCAAACAGG
This 253-nucleotide ribosomal RNA is filed under the name uncultured bacterium. RNAcentral's name for it is "partial 16S ribosomal RNA". It matches the Rfam family "Bacterial small subunit ribosomal RNA", at positions 524 to 776 of the family's 1533-position model. The record is from RNAcentral.